AGCUAUUACAGCUCUUUCAGAAUUUUUCUAGUAGGUUUUUCUGACUUUGGCCAGAAAAUCCAAG
Molecule: small nuclear RNA, 64 nt
Organism: Rattus norvegicus (Norway rat)
Lineage: Eukaryota; Metazoa; Chordata; Mammalia; Rodentia; Muridae
Product: U7 small nuclear RNA
Source: Ensembl